This 1122-nucleotide long non-coding RNA is filed under the name Camarhynchus parvulus. RNAcentral describes it as "lncRNA (ENSCPVG00000017039.1)". Lineage: Eukaryota; Metazoa; Chordata; Aves; Passeriformes; Thraupidae. The record is from RNAcentral.
AUGAUCCUGGUGCCACCAGGGGGAGGCUGUGCCUGCCUGAAGGGGUGCCCUGUGUGUGGCAGGGAUGGAGGUGUACCCGUCCCGCACGCAGCUGCCGGAGCUGCUGCCACAGCCGGUGCUGGCAGGGGUCAUUGGUGGGAUCUGCUUCCUCAGCGUGGCCGUCAUCUUCAGCACCAUGGCCGCCUGCAUCAUGAACCGGCGCCGCGCCGCGCGCGUCCGCAAGCGCCGCCAAGAUCCACCACUCGUCUUCUCCCCCAGCAAGAAGCUUCCACCUCCACAGUAAGUCACGUCAUUGCCACGCUCCCUGCUUGUCCUGCCGUGUCACUGCCAUGGUCCUUCCAUCCCACUCCCUCCCUGUCCUAUUCCCACCAUGCCACAUUCCCUCCCUGUCCUGCCAUGCCAUGCCAUGCCAUGCCAUGCCAUGCCACACUCCCUCCCUGUCCCUCUCUUGCCAUGCCAUGCUCCUCCACAUCCCAUUCCCUCCCUAUCCCACCCCUGGCCAUGCCACACUCCCCCCCCUCUCCAUGUCAUGCUCCCCUCCAUCCCUUUUCCUCCCUGUCCCACUUCUGGCUAUGCCUCUCCCUGUCCCAUCCCACUGCGCUCCUCAUCAUCCCUCUGCCACCAGCUGUGGGGGCACAGGGACAAGCUGGGGACAGCCCCGCCCUGCCCAAGGGCGUUAGGAGCGAGGUGCUGCCCUCGCGAGCUCCCUCCGGGCAGUUUUGGCUGCAGAAAAGCUCAGGAAAUGCAGGAGCAGCACGGCUGGGGGUGCUGCAGCUGCUGCCUCUCCCCUGCAGCAAUGCUCGUGGCCCUGGUAGCCCCGCCAGCACGGUGAAGCUGAAGCUGCAGCCGUCGCCGUGCCGGAGCCUGCACCGGAGCCUGCUGUGGGGUGAAAAGGCCGGCACCAGCCUGGGGCUGAGCAUCGCCGGCUCCCGUUACCCCGCCUACGAGAGCCACGGCCGGGAGCACCGGGAGCACGUGCCGCUGGAGCGCAUCUGCCGCGGCCCCGACGGCCGCUUCGUGCUGGAGAGCGACUCGCAGCCGGAGCCCCCGCGGGACCCCGCUGCAGCCCUACCGCCAGCUGCCCGCCGGGGAGCAGGAGGAGGACGAGGAGGACGAGGAUGA